Molecule: ribosomal RNA, 974 nt
Filed under: uncultured bacterium
Lineage: Bacteria
Description: bacterial SSU rRNA
Rfam family: Bacterial small subunit ribosomal RNA
Source: RNAcentral
GUCGGACGCGUACCUUCGGGUACGAGUGGCAAACGGGAGAGUAACACAUUGGCUAACCUACCUCGAAGUUCGGGACAACCCAUCGAAAGAUGGGCUAAUACCGGAUGUGCAUGAUACAUAUUUUGUAUCAUGUAAAGAUUUAUCGCUUCGAGAGGGGCCUAUGGUCUAUCAGCUUGUUGGUGAGGUAAUGGCUCACCAAGGCGACGACGGAUAGCGGGUGUGAGAGCAUGACCCGUCUCACUGGGACUGAGACACUGCCCAGACUCCUACGGGAGGCUGCAGUCAAGAAUCUUACCCAAUGGCCGAAAGGGUGAGGGAGCGACGCCGCGUGUAGGAAGAAGUCUUUCGGGAUGUAAACUACUUUUCUGUGGGAAUUACUAAUGAUGGUACCACAGGAAUAAGGGGCUGCUAACUUCGUGCCAGCAGCAGCGGUAAUACAAGGGCCCCGAGCGUUAUCCGGAUUUAUUGGGCGUAAAGAGUUCAAAGGUGGUUAUUUAAGUUUUCGGUUAAAUCCUGAUGCUCAACAUCAGAACCGCCGAGAAAACUAUUUAACUUGAGGGUAGAAGAGGUAGACGGAAUUGCCGGUGUAGUAGUAAAGUGCGUUAAUUUCGGCAAGAACACCAAUCGCGAAGGCAGUCUACUUGUAUAACCCUGACACUAUACGAACGAAAGCGUGGGUAGCGAAACGGAUUAGAUACCCGUGUAGUCCACGCCGUAAACGAUGGAUACUAGGCAUUGGGAGUGUCGACCCUUCCAGUGUCGGUUUAAAAGCUAACGCAUUAAGUAUCCCGCCUGGGGAGUACGGCCGCAAGGCUAAAACUCAAAGGAAUUGACGGGAACCCGCACAAGCGGUGGAGCAUGUGGUUUAAUUCGACGAUAACCGAGAAACCUUACCAGGGUUUGAAAUCCUAGCUGCUACGCCACAGAAACGUGGCUUCCUUCGAGGGUGCUAGGACAGGUGCUGCAUGGCUGUC